RNAcentral lists this ribosomal RNA (314 nucleotides) under uncultured bacterium. Its description in RNAcentral is "partial 16S ribosomal RNA". It matches the Rfam family "Bacterial small subunit ribosomal RNA", at positions 495 to 807 of the family's 1533-position model. The record is from RNAcentral.
GUAUAAGAGACAGCAGUCGCCGCGGGAAUACAGAGGGUGCGAGCGUUAAUCGGAUUUACUGGGCGUAAAGCGUGCGUAGGCGGCUUCUUAAGUCGGAUGUGAAAUCCCUGAGCUUAACUUAGGAAUUGCAUUCGAUACUGGGAAGCUAGAGUAUGGGAGAGGAUGGUAGAAUUCCAGGUGUAGCGGUGAAAUGCGUAGAGAUCUGGAGGAAUACCGAUGGCGAAGGCAGCCAUCUGGCCUAAUACUGACGCUGAGGUACGAAAGCAUGGGGAGCAAACAGGAUUAGAUACCCCAGUAGUCCCUGUCUCUUAUAC